CCUCCUACAGCACCCACAACACAGAGUUGCGACUUCGCUUGCUGACACCCAAAUCCGGUUGUGGGUUGCCUUCUCCGGCGUGAGUCACUGUAGUUCCCACUGCUGCUUCCAAACGCUUUUUCACAUGAGGGGGACAGGGUGGUCAGCAGCAGACAGUGCUCCCAGACAACCUCAGAGUUAUGGUGGCAUGGAUGCUUUCCACCCAGGUGAAAUCUUCUGGGUGUUGGUGUUCACAGUCCCAGUGCUGGCUGUUCUCCUUAUUCUUUGUACUGACUGUCAGGAUUCCGAAUUAGACACACCACCUGAAGAAGAUCAUACCUGCAAGCCAUCCACUAAUGCCCAGACCGAGAACUUUUGGUUGGUGAGGCCUCCAUUGUCAGACUGUGCAGAAACACGACUCACAAGUUCAUCAUUUUCUGCUGUGCAGUCCCAGACGGAGUUUCAGAGAUGUCCCCUGUACAGCCAUUCCUAUCAACCAACCUCAGCCAUCAAGGCCGAAGAGGACACAGAUAGUGUACCGAGUUAUGAAAAUCAAGGACCAGCCUGUAUCACUGAUGACGAUGACACAGAUGGCAACUAUAUCCCAUCCUACAUUGAGGUGUUGCCUGAGGCUCCACGCACAGAUCAAGACAAUGGAUAUCGUGGUUCUUCAGAUUCAAUAGUGGAGCAGUAUGAGAAUGUGUUAGAGACUCGACAAUCACCAGGUGAAUACGUCAAUGUACUAGAACCAGAGGCAACCAUCCGUGACCAUUUUGCUGGUGUCAGUGAUCAGGAGAGCGAAGAUGAUACUCCAGACUAUGAAAAUGUCUGCCCUGGGCUUUGAACUAUCUGGACACAUGGAAGCAUGCUGAAGAAAACUUAACCUGUUGAAGGGCUGUUUCAAGGCAGCAUUCCUUGACUGGGUCACUAACAUGAAGCCCUGAUCAAUUGUUCUCAUGAGGAUACUUCCCCUAUUUGCCAUCACCCCUAGCAUCAUCGUAACUUAUUGCCGGCUUUUGCACUUUGGUUUGACACAUCCUGAGAAUUUCCCAUGAUCCCAUUGUGCCUUUUUAGCAAGGUUCAGAAGCACGAUAGUCCGCUGGUUCUGGGCAUUUCAAUUCCCAAUUCUCUUCAAAACUCACUGGAUUGUUUGUAUUUCUUGGCUAAAUAAAGAACCAGUCAUUUCACA
Molecule: long non-coding RNA, 1168 nt
Organism: Salvator merianae (Argentine black and white tegu)
Lineage: Eukaryota; Metazoa; Chordata; Lepidosauria; Squamata; Teiidae
Source: Ensembl